Molecule: ribosomal RNA, 505 nt
Filed under: uncultured bacterium
Lineage: Bacteria
Description: partial 16S ribosomal RNA
Rfam family: Bacterial small subunit ribosomal RNA
Source: RNAcentral
GACGAACGCUGGCGGCGUGCCUAAUACAUGCAAGUAGAACGCACAGUUUAUACCGUAGCUUGCUACACCAUAGACUGUGAGUUGCGAACGGGGGAGUAACGCGUAGGUAACCUGCCUGGUAGCGGGGGAUAACUAUUGGAAACGAUAGCUAAUACCGCAUAAUAUUGAUUAUUGCAUGAUAAUUAAUUGAAAGGUGCAAUUGCACCACUACCAGAUGGACCUGCGUUGUAUUAGCUAGUAGGUGAGGUAACGGCUCACCUAGGCGGAGAUACAUAGCCGAGCUGGGGAGGUGGUCGGCCAAAAUGGGAACUGGACAAGGGCCAGGAUGCUACGGGGGGCAGCAAGAGGGGAUUUUUGGAAAUGGAGGAAAGGCUUGAUGAGCAACGCCGGGGGAGUGAAGGAGGUUUUCGGGUUGUAAAAGUCUGUUGUUAGGGAAGAAAGAGUAUGAGAGUGAAAAGUUCACACUGUGACGGUAUCUUACGAGAAAGGGACGGCUAACUACGUG